Phasianus colchicus (ring-necked pheasant) is the source of this 105-nucleotide small nuclear RNA. NCBI's taxonomy places the organism in Eukaryota, Metazoa, Chordata, Aves, Galliformes, Phasianidae. The record is from Ensembl.
GCUCGCUUUGGCAGUGCAUAUACUAAAACUGGAACAAUAGAGAGAAGAUUAGCAUGGCCCCUGCACAAGAAUGGCAUGCAAAUUCAUGAAGCAUUCCAUGUUUUU